UACGAAGGGGGCUAGCGUUGCUCGGAAUUACUGGGCGUAAAGCGCACGUAGGCGGCUCUUUAAGUCGGGGGUGAAAUCCUGGAGCUCAACUCCAGAACUGCCUUCGAUACUGUAGAGCUUGAGUUCGGGAGAGGUGAGUGGAACUGCGAGUGUAGAGGUGAAAUUCGUAGAUAUUCGCAAGAACACCAGUGGCGAAGGCGGCUCACUGGCCCGGUACUGACGCUGAGGUGCGAAAGCGUGGGGAGCAAACAGG
This 253-nucleotide ribosomal RNA is filed under the name uncultured bacterium. RNAcentral describes it as "partial 16S ribosomal RNA". It matches the Rfam family "Bacterial small subunit ribosomal RNA", at positions 524 to 776 of the family's 1533-position model. The record is from RNAcentral.